This 245-nucleotide ribosomal RNA is filed under the name uncultured bacterium. RNAcentral describes it as "partial small subunit ribosomal RNA". It matches the Rfam family "Bacterial small subunit ribosomal RNA", at positions 26 to 285 of the family's 1533-position model. The record is from RNAcentral.
AGAAUCAACGCUGGCGGCGCGCUUAACACAUGCAAGUCGAGCGAGAAAGGGGAGCAAUCCCUGAGUAAAGCGGCGUACGGGUGAGUAACACGUGGGUAAUCUACCUUUUAGUGUGGAAUAACCCUGGGAAACCGGGGCUAAUACCGCAUAAGCCUGAGAAGGGAAAGCAGCAAUGCGCUGAAAGAGGAGCCCGCGGCCGAUUAGCUAGUUGGUGGGGUAACGGCCCACCAAGGCGAUGAUCGGUA